Molecule: transfer RNA, 143 nt
Filed under: Allocatelliglobosispora scoriae
Lineage: Bacteria; Bacillati; Actinomycetota; Actinomycetes; Micromonosporales; Micromonosporaceae
Description: tRNA-OTHER
Source: RNAcentral
GCCGUUGUUCCGAAGUGGUUCCGAGGUAUCGGCAACCGGGCGGCCGAACGAUGCAUUCGAGCAGCUCAACACAUGUCUGUGUCCAUGCAUGGACUCCCCCUCCGGAGGCGGGGGCGCAGGUUCGAAUCCUGCCGGGGGCACCA